AGCGAACGCUGGCGGCGUGCUUAACACAUGCAAGUCGAGCGAAGGUGUUUCAAGGGUAACCUUGAGAUACACUUAGCGGCGGACGGGUGAGUAAUACGUGGAUAACUUACCUCUAGGCCUGGGAUAACCCCGGGAACUGGGGCUAAUACCUGAUAAGACCACAUUGUCUACGGACAAAGGGGUAAAGGUGGCUGUGCAAACAGCUAUCGCCAAAAGAUAGGUUCACGUCCCAUCAGGCAGUUGGUGAGGUAAUGGCUCACCAAACCAAAGACGGGUAGCCGGCCUUGGCGGGGUGAACGGCCACAC
RNAcentral lists this ribosomal RNA (306 nucleotides) under uncultured bacterium. RNAcentral describes it as "bacterial SSU rRNA". It matches the Rfam family "Bacterial small subunit ribosomal RNA", at positions 29 to 313 of the family's 1533-position model. The record is from RNAcentral.